GACGAACGCUGGCGGCGUGCCUAAUACAUGCAAGUAGAACGCUGAAGCUUGGUGCUUGCACCGAGCGGAUGAGUUGCGAACGGGUGAGUAACGCGUAGGUAACCUGCCUGGUAGCGGGGGAUAACUAUUGGAAACGAUAGCUAAUACCGCAUAAGAGUAUAUGUUGCAUGACAUUUGCUUAAAAGGUGCAAUUGCAUCACUACCAGAUGGACCUGCGUUGUAUUAGCUAGUUGGUGAGGUAACGGCUCACCAAGGCCACGAUACAUAGCCGACCUGAGAGGGUGGUCGGCCACAUUGGGAAUGAGACACGGCCCAGACUCCUACGGGAGGCAGCAGUAGGGAAUCUUCGGCAAUGGACGGAAGUCUGACCGAGCAACGCCGCGUGAGUGAAGAAGGUUUUCGGAUCGUAAAGCUCUGUUGUAAGAGAAGAACGAGUGUGAGAGUGGAAAGUUCACACUGUGACGGUAUCUUACCAGAAAGGGACGGCUAACUACGUG
Molecule: ribosomal RNA, 497 nt
Filed under: uncultured bacterium
Lineage: Bacteria
Description: partial 16S ribosomal RNA
Rfam family: Bacterial small subunit ribosomal RNA
Source: RNAcentral